ACACUUUCAGCAGUGGAUGUCUAGGCUCGCACAACGAUGAAGAACGCUGCUAACUGCGAUACGUCAUGCGAAUUGCAGGAUUCAGUGAGUCAUCGAGAUUUUGAACGCAUAUUGCACUCCCCAGAGACUCUGGGGAGUAUGCCUGGGUCAUCGCCUUUG
RNAcentral lists this ribosomal RNA (159 nucleotides) under Pustula junggarensis. RNAcentral describes it as "5.8S ribosomal RNA". It matches the Rfam family "5.8S ribosomal RNA". From Rfam's summary of the family: 5.8S ribosomal RNA (5.8S rRNA) is a component of the large subunit of the eukaryotic ribosome. It is transcribed by RNA polymerase I as part of the 45S precursor that also contains 18S and 28S rRNA. The record is from RNAcentral. RNAcentral also lists the same sequence under 1 other name. Lineage: Eukaryota; Oomycota; Peronosporomycetes; Albuginales; Albuginaceae.